Molecule: ribosomal RNA, 263 nt
Filed under: uncultured bacterium
Lineage: Bacteria
Description: partial 16S ribosomal RNA
Rfam family: Bacterial small subunit ribosomal RNA
Source: RNAcentral
GUAACACGUAAACAACCUGCCUUCAGGAUGGGGACAACAGACGGAAACGACUGCUAAUACCGAAUAAGUUCCAAGAGCCGCAUGGCCCAUGGAAGAAAAGGUGGCCUCUACCUGUAAGCUAUCGCCUGAAGAGGGGUUUGCGUCUGAUUAGCUGGUUGGAGGGGGUAACGGCCCACCAAGGCGACGAUCAGUAGCCGGUCUGAGAGGAUGAACGGCCACACUGGGACUGAGACACGGUCCAGACUCCUACGGGAGGCAGCAUG